Molecule: ribosomal RNA, 492 nt
Filed under: uncultured bacterium
Lineage: Bacteria
Description: partial 16S ribosomal RNA
Rfam family: Bacterial small subunit ribosomal RNA
Source: RNAcentral
AGUGAACGCUGGCGGUAGGCCUAACACAUGCAAGUCGAACGGCAGCACAGUAAGAGCUUGCUCUUACGGGUGGCGCGUGGCGGACGGGUGAGGAAUACAUCGGAAUCUACUUUUUCGUGGGGGAUAACGUAGGGAAACUUACGCUAAUACCGCAUACGACCUACGGGUGAAAGCAGGGGAUCUUCGGACCUUGCGCGAUUGAAUGAGCCGAUGUCGGAUUAGCUAGUUGGCGGGGUAAAGGCCCACCAAGGCGGCGAUCCGUAGCUGGUCUGAGAGGAUGAUCAGCCACACUGGAACUGAGACACGGUCCAGACUCCUACGGGAGGCAGCAGUGGGGAAUAUUGGACAAUGGGCGCAAGCCUGAUCCAGCCAUACCGCGUGGGUGAAGAAGGCCUUCGGGUUGUAAAGCCCUUUUGUUGGGAAAGAAAAGCAGCAGGUUAAUACCCCGCUGUUCUGACGGUACCCAAAGAAUAAGCACCGGCUAACUUCGUG